GGGUUGUGAGGUUAAGCGACUAAGCGUACACGGUGGAUGCCCUGGCAGUCAGAGGCGAUGAAGGACGUGCUAAUCUGCGAUAAGCGCCGGUAAGGUGAUAUGAACCGUUAUAACCGGCGAUUUCCGAAUGGGGAAACCCAGUGUGAUUCGUCACACUAUCAUUAACUGAAUCCAUAGGUUAAUGAGGCGAACCGGGGGAACUGAAACAUCUAAGUACCCCGAGGAAAAGAAAUCAACCGAGAUUCCCCCAGUAGCGGCGAGCGAACGGGGAGGAGCCCAGAGCCUGAAUCAGCAUGUGUGUUAGUGGAAGCGUCUGGAAAGGCGCGCGAUACAGGGUGACAGCCCCGUACACAAAAGCGCAUGUGCUGUGAGCUCGAUGAGUAGGGCGGGACACGUGGUAUCCUGUCUGAAUAUGGGGGGACCAUCCUCCAAGGCUAAAUACUCCUGACUGACCGAUAGUGAACCAGUACCGUGAGGGAAAGGCGAAAAGAACCCCGGCGAGGGGAGUGAAAAAGAACCUGAAACCGUGUACGUACAAGCAGUGGGAGCCCCACCACUAAGCCAGUGGUGAACUCCACAUACGCAUCCUUUGCUGAGGAUACGGUUAACGGAGCGAAAGCGACGUUCAACCUCAAAAGAAGCAGAGGGGGCUUAGUGGUGGGGUGACUGCGUACCUUUUGUAUAAUGGGUCAGCGACUUAUAUUCUGUAGCAAGGUUAACCGUAUAGGGGAGCCGGAGGGAAACCGAGUCUUAAUUGGGCGUUAAGUUGCAGGGUAUAGACCCGAAACCCGGUGAUCUAGCCAUGGGCAGGUUGAAGGUUGGGUAACACUAACUGGAGGACCGAACCGACUAAUGUUGAAAAAUUAGCGGAUGACCUGUGGCUGGGGGUGAAAGGCCAAUCAAACCGGGAGAUAGCUGGUUCUCCCCGAAAGCUAUUUAGGUAGCGCCUCGUGAAUUCAUCUUCGGGGGUAGAGCACUGUUUCGGCUAGGGGGUCAUCCCGACUUACCAACCCGAUGCAAACUGCGAAUACCGGAGAAUGUUAUCACGGGAGACACACGGCGGGUGCUAACGUCCGUCGUGAAGAGGGAAACAACCCAGACCGCCAGCUAAGGUCCCAAAGUCAUGGUUAAGUGGGAAACGAUGUGGGAAGGCCCAGACAGCCAGGAUGUUGGCUUAGAAGCAGCCAUCAUUUAAAGAAAGCGUAAUAGCUCACUGGUCGAGUCGGCCUGCGCGGAAGAUGUAACGGGGCUAAACCAUGCACCGAAGCUGCGGCAGCGAACGUAUCACUUAAAGCGAUUCAGCGGGUUACGAUUGACGGAGCGAAGCGACGUCAAAGCGUAUACAAAGUCGAGUCGGUUUA
This 1361-nucleotide ribosomal RNA is filed under the name Salmonella enterica. RNAcentral's name for it is "partial 23S ribosomal RNA". It matches the Rfam family "Bacterial large subunit ribosomal RNA", at positions 1 to 1274 of the family's 2925-position model. Lineage: Bacteria; Pseudomonadati; Pseudomonadota; Gammaproteobacteria; Enterobacterales; Enterobacteriaceae. The record is from RNAcentral.